AGAUUGAACGCUGGCGGCAGGCUUAACACAUGCAAGUCGAGCGGUAACAGAGAUAGCUUGCUAUCUGCUGACGAGCGGCGGACGGGUGAGUAAUGCUUGGGAAUAUGCCUUUAGGUGGGGGACAACAGUUGGAAACGACUGCUAAUACCGCAUAACGUCUACGGACCAAAGGGGGGGAUCUUCGGACCUCUCGCCUAAAGAUUAGCCCAAGUGAGAUUAGCUAGUUGGUGAGGUAAAGGCUCACCAAGGCGACGAUCUCUAGCUGGUUUGAGAGGAUGAUCAGCCACACUGGGACUGAGACACGGCCCAGACUCCUACGGGAGGCAGCAGUGGGGAAUAUUGCACAAUGGGCGAAAGCCUGAUGCAGCCAUGCCGCGUGUGUGAAGAAGGCCUUAGGGUUGUAAAGCACUUUCAGUUGUGAGGAAAGGUGAGUAGUUAAUAGCUGCUUACUGUGACGUUAGCAACAGAAGAAGCACCGGCUAACUUCGUGCCAGCAGCCGCGGUAAUACGAGGGGUGUAAGCGUUAAUUGGAAUUACUGGGCGUAAAGUGUGUGUAGGCGGUUUGUUAAGUAAGAUGUGAAAGCUUUGGGUUCAACCUGGGAACUGCAUUUUGAACUGGUAAACUAGAGUACUGUAGAGGGUGGUGGAAUUUCCAGUGUAGCGGUGAAAUGUGUAGAGAUUGGAAGGAAUAUUAGUGGCGAAGGUGGCCACCUGGACAGAUACUGACGCUGAGGCACGAAAGCGUGGGGAGCAAACAGGAUUAGAUACCCUGGUAGUCCACGCCGUAAACGAUGUCAACUAGCUGUCUGUGGACUUGAUCCGUGGGUAGCGCAGCUAAUGCAUUAAGUUGACCGCCUGGGGAGUAUGGCCGUAAGGUUA
Molecule: ribosomal RNA, 879 nt
Filed under: uncultured bacterium
Lineage: Bacteria
Description: bacterial SSU rRNA
Rfam family: Bacterial small subunit ribosomal RNA
Source: RNAcentral